AUUAUAAUACAUUCUUUAUUUGUCAGAACCGAAUCAGGUGAUGAAAUUUCUGUCGACUCAAACCCUCGGAAACAGGAUAGAUUCGCCGCUGGAGCGACUUCACGACGGCAAAUUCAGAGUAAAAGUUACCGGAAUCUACCUCAUCUAUUUAAACGCCCAGUUGUAUGUUUACGAUAUUCAUUAUGCUGUGGCGUUGUAUAUCGGGAACAUUGACACCGACCCAGACCUCAUGUGCACGGUUGCCACGGAUACAAUUCAAUCUCAUACAUCUGAAACGAAAUAUAACAACGCUAGAACAAAGUCAUGUUCGACGAUGGGAACAUUUUAUAUGAGAGCAGACCAACACAUUUCUGUCGUCAUGCAAGAGACAAACAGGGCCAUACAAAUCAAAGACGGCACAAAUUUUGGCGCCAUUUUACUUAAGUCUGACUGAAUGGAACUUUCUAUUACCCUCUUUUUCGAUAUACGUAUCAAAUAUACAGUAUACUGUUAAAUUCCAUUUUAAGCAGUAAUCUGAUUUUAGCGCUAUUCGCACUGGAAACAUUGCACUAAAAUAUUAUUGUGCUUUUAUAUUUGCUAUGUUCUUUUUCUGUAGCAAAUGAUGUCGAUAAGCGAAUUCUACAAAUUUGCGCUAAUCUCUAAACCACCGGCCAAAUAUGGCUUGUAUCACUAACUUUAGAUGACUUUAGCAAAACUAUUUUCUUUAAAGAGGAAAGAUUACAUCGAAUUGGAGCAGAGUGGUGGUCCUGAGUGGGUCAGACCAUUUUCAUUGCCCAAAGACACUUUACAGAAGAAGAAAAACGUUAUUAUUUUUUUAUUUCUCCUACUGAGUCUAGCCCCUUGGGCCCAAGAGUGUCCGUAUUCAACAGUUUUUGUACAAAACUGGUUCUCCUUCACCAAAAGAUGCUUCAGCCCAUUUUCUUCCAUAAUCCACUGAGUUGUUUAUGAUUAUCAUAGUACCUAUACAAAAGAAAAGUUGACAUACGGACGACUGAUGGACGACGGACAUUGCGCCGUACCAUAAGCUAUCGUUAGAUUCAGGUAAUCUAACAACGGCAGUGCGUACAUGUUUGAGGUGUGCACCAAAAUAUACGUCUACGUUAGUAUAUACCAUGUGUGUUAGGAACUAGCUUCACUUCACAGGGUGAUGCCGUGGUUGCUAGGAAUGUGAUAAAUCGAUACCACACAGGAAAGGGAAAGACAGCUGACCCGCACUAUGACGCCACUCACAAAAGCGUAACGUCAUCAUGUAGCGUAACCACGUCAUCAGUUUCAACGCACAUUUCAUGAAACAUUGAUGAAAGCGCGGUAAAAAGGUUUCACAUAGCUUUAUAAUUUGUUACUUUUGUAAGUGAAAAAAAUAUAGGCAAGCCUCGUGCUGACCUGCCAACUGUUACACUCGGGCUGAGAUAUCCCUGUCAUGAAAGAUUCUAUUAAUAUUCACUGCGGUUUUAACACUUCUAAUGUUACUUUCAGCAAAAGUAUCAUGCGGAUAAUUUGCAGUCAUAGACAUCAAUAUUGCCUCCAAGGAUAAACAUAUUUGGGUUACUAAUUUGUAGAAGUUUGGCGCAAUAUCAUCAAGAUUACAAUUUAUUGAAUUAUACGUAUCACGGGAUAUUUUAAUGUACCAGUACAUAUGAUAUAUAAUAUGAAUCUCAUUUAAAGUGAAAAAUACUGACUGACUUUCAUCUAUAUCCUAUGUUAUAACAAUGCAUGUGUAGGCUAUCCUCAUGUACAGCAUUAAAAGUCAUUAUCGAGAGGUAUAUGGUAAAUGGUAUUUAGUUACAAGAGACUGAAGAGAAUGACUGCAUGACGGAUAAUACAGGUUAUUAUUAAAGUCAGUGGUCGGUUAAGUCAGGUUUCACACUGUUUUGUUGAAUAUUUUAGAUGAAUAUGGUUUGUGUUGUACAUAUAACAAUAAUAUGGAUUACACAAGUGAAAUAUCAUUUUGGUUGUUAAAUAAUAUUGUUAUGUCUUUAAGCAAUAAAAAUCCCCAUAUAUCAU
Molecule: long non-coding RNA, 2004 nt
Organism: Pecten maximus
Lineage: Eukaryota; Metazoa; Mollusca; Bivalvia; Pectinida; Pectinidae
Exons: 2
Source: RefSeq, a predicted model, not a curated record